RNAcentral lists this unclassified non-coding RNA (358 nucleotides) under Hevea brasiliensis (rubber tree). The record is from RNAcentral. Lineage: Eukaryota; Viridiplantae; Streptophyta; Magnoliopsida; Malpighiales; Euphorbiaceae.
AAACUGUGUUUCUAAUGGGGCAAACUGUGUUCAUAUAUGCCAUUCUAUAAUUUUGCUUCAUCAUCUGGUCUGGGGCUUUUCUGUUAUUUUAAUCAACUGCCAACAGGAAAAUCUCAAUCUCAUGGUUAGAAUAAAGAACUACUGCCAGAUCUGCAUAGCAAUUUCCGCGAACAUGUUGCAAGUUCUUGGCUAAAAUGGACUGACUUGCACUUCCUGUGAUUUACAUAGGAAAGAAUCUAAAUGAAUGUGACCCCUACGAGACCUUAUGAAAAAGUGGUAUUUUAAAGGCCCUUCGAGGACCACAAUCUCUGGAAAGAAAAACGGACAAGUCUUAAUCAAAAACAAAGUGAAAUUGGGG